UAGAAGUAUUUUCUUGAGCUUCUAACUCAAGAGUGGGGGUAGUCUCCACUUCUAU
This 55-nucleotide transfer RNA is filed under the name Dermatobranchus otome. Its description in RNAcentral is "tRNA-Ser". The record is from RNAcentral. Lineage: Eukaryota; Metazoa; Mollusca; Gastropoda; Nudibranchia; Arminidae.